UACGGAGGGUCCAAGCGUUAUCCGGAAUCAUUGGGUUUAAAGGGUGCGUAGGCGGCUUUAUAAGUCAGUGCUGAAAUAUCCCGGCUUAACCGGGAGGGUGGCAUUGAUACUGCAGAGCUUGAGUGAAGUCGAGGUAGGCGGAAUUGACGGUGUAGCGGUGAAAUGCUUAGAUAUCGUCAAGAACACCGAUAGUGAAGACAGCUUACUAGACUUCAACUGACGCUGAGGCACGAAAGUGUGGGGAUCAAACAGG
RNAcentral lists this ribosomal RNA (253 nucleotides) under uncultured bacterium. RNAcentral's name for it is "partial 16S ribosomal RNA". It matches the Rfam family "Bacterial small subunit ribosomal RNA", at positions 524 to 776 of the family's 1533-position model. The record is from RNAcentral.